CAGCAGCCGCGGUAAUACGAAGGGGGCUAGCGUUGCUCGGAAUGACUGGGCGUAAAGGGCGCGUAGGCGGAUUGUUUAGUUAGGCGUGAAAUUCCUGGGCUUAACCUGGGGACUGCGCUUAAUACAGGCAGUCUAGAGUGAGGAAGAGGGUUGUGGAAUUCCCAGUGUAGAGGUGAAAUUCGUAGAUAUUGGGAAGAACACCGGUGGCGAAGGCAGCAACCUGGUCCUUGACUGACGCUGAGGCGCGAAAGCGUGGGGAGCAAACAGGAUUAGAUACCCGUGUAGUCCCUGUCUCUUAUAA
Molecule: ribosomal RNA, 301 nt
Filed under: uncultured bacterium
Lineage: Bacteria
Description: partial 16S ribosomal RNA
Rfam family: Bacterial small subunit ribosomal RNA
Source: RNAcentral